RNAcentral lists this ribosomal RNA (513 nucleotides) under uncultured bacterium. Its description in RNAcentral is "bacterial SSU rRNA". It matches the Rfam family "Bacterial small subunit ribosomal RNA", at positions 47 to 518 of the family's 1533-position model. The record is from RNAcentral.
CCUAAUACAUGCAAGUCGAACGCGUUGGCCUAACUGAUUGAACGUGCUUGCACGGACUGACGUGGUUACCAGCGAGUGGCGGACGGGUGAGUAACACGUAGGUAACCUGCCCCAAAGCGGGGGAUAACAUUGGAAACAGAUGCUAAUACCGCAUAACAAUUUGAAUCGCAUGAUUCAAAUUUAAAAGAUGGUUUCGGCUAUCACUUUGGGAUGGACCUGCGGCGCAUUAGCUUGUUGGUAGGGUAACGGCCUACCAAGGCUGUGAUGCGUAGCCGAGUUGAGAGACUGAUCGGCCACAAUGGAACUGAGACACGGUCCAUACUCCUACGGGAGGCAGCAGUAGGGAAUCUUCCACAAUGGGCGCAAGCCUGAUGGAGCAACACCGCGUGAGUGAAGAAGGGUUUUCCGGCUCGUAAAGCUCUGUUGUUAGAGAAGAACGUGCGUGAGAGCAACUGUUCACGCAGUGACGGUAUCUAACCAGAAAGUCACGGCUAACUACGUGCCAGCCGCUGC